This 355-nucleotide unclassified non-coding RNA is filed under the name soil metagenome. Its description in RNAcentral is "partial contains 5.8S ribosomal RNA, internal transcribed spacer 2, and large subunit ribosomal RNA". The stretch from base 1 to 120 matches the Rfam family "5.8S ribosomal RNA", at positions 35 to 154 of the family's 154-position model. The record is from RNAcentral.
GAUGAAGAACGCAGCGAAAUGCGAUAGGUAAUGUGAAUUGCAGAAUUCAGUGAAUCAUCGAAUCUUUGAACGCACAUUGCGCCCAUUAGUAUUCUAGUGGGCAUGCCUGUUCGAGCGUCAUUAAGUCCACUUAAGCCCUGCUUAGUGUUGGGAGACUGCUCCAGCGGUGCUACCCUGUAGCUACCCUGCAGCUCCUCAAAGACAGCGGCGGAGUUGUGGUAUCCUCUGAGCUUAGUAACUUGUUCUAGCUUUCGAGUACACCACUUCCCCUGCCGUAAAACCCUUAAUUUUUAAUGGUUGACCUCGGAUCAGGUAGGAAUACCCGCUGAACUUAAGCAUAUCAAUAAGCGGAGGA